RNAcentral lists this ribosomal RNA (782 nucleotides) under uncultured Burkholderiales bacterium. RNAcentral describes it as "SSU rRNA". It matches the Rfam family "Bacterial small subunit ribosomal RNA", at positions 90 to 869 of the family's 1533-position model. Lineage: Bacteria; Pseudomonadati; Pseudomonadota; Betaproteobacteria; Burkholderiales. The record is from RNAcentral.
GGCGAGUGGCGAACGGGUGAGUAAUAUAUCGGAACAUACCCAGUAGUGGGGGAUAACUAUCCGAAAGGAUAGCUAAUACCGCAUACGAUCUGUGGAUGAAAGCAGGGGAUCUUCGGACCUUGUGCUAUUGGAAUGGCCGAUAUCUGAUUAGCUAGUUGGUAGGGUAAAAGCCUACCAAGGCGACGAUCAGUAGCUGGUCUGAGAGGACGACCAGCCACACUGGAACUGAGACACGGUCCAGACUCCUACGGGAGGCAGCAGUGGGGAAUUUUGGACAAUGGGGGCAACCCUGAUCCAGCAAUGCCGCGUGAGUGAAGAAGGCCCUCGGGUUGUAAAGCUCUUUUGUCAGGGAAGAAACGGAGUUCUCUAAUAUAGGAUUCUAAUGACGGUACCUGAAGAAUAAGCACCGGCUAACUACGUGCCAGCAGCCGCGGUAAUACGUAGGGUGCAAGCGUUAAUCGGAAUUACUGGGCGUAAAGCGUGCGCAGGCGGUUUUGUAAGUCUGAUGUGAAAUCCCCGGGCUCAACCUGGGAACUGCAUUGGAGACUGCAAGGCUAGAGUGUGUCAGAGGGGGGUAGAAUUCCACGUGUAGCAGUGAAAUGCGUAGAGAUGUGGAGGAAUACCGAUGGCGAAGGCAGCCCCCUGGGAUAACACUGACGCUCAUGCACGAAAGCGUGGGGAGCAAACAGGAUUAGAUACCUUGGUAGUCCACGCCCUAAACGAUGUCUACUAGUUGUCGGGACUUAAUUGUCUUGGUAACGCAGCUAACGCGUGAAGUAGAC